CUCCAAUUAUUAUAUCUAGAAUAAUUCAAAUGUACUGAUUUUUCGCCUCUCAUUUUAAACGGAUAAACUCCAAACUAUUUUUCUUAAUAUAUAACCAAGCUCAAAUUCAUCGAGGAAGGGAACAUAUAUAAAGAGAAGGCAUAUGUAGUGUACAGUGACAAUAUAGUCCUCUCGAAGUAAUAAUGUAUCUUCCAUUCAAUGUCUCCUAGCUUUAAUGCUGUAGUGACCGCCUUGCACCUAAGACUUGUUCAUAAAAAGAUGAUCUUAUAUGAUUUUUUUUUAAAGAGAUGCGGUAGUAAUGAGCCACCAUGAGGAUUUCAAUCUUAGAUUUCCCUAAGUCCU
RNAcentral lists this long non-coding RNA (342 nucleotides) under Elaeis guineensis (African oil palm). RNAcentral's name for it is "long non-coding RNA (EGUI_LNC008034)". Lineage: Eukaryota; Viridiplantae; Streptophyta; Magnoliopsida; Arecales; Arecaceae. The record is from RNAcentral.